AACGAACGCUGGCGGCAGGCCUAACACAUGCAAGUCGAGCGCCCCGCCAGGGGAGCGGCGGACGGGUGAGUAACGCGUGGGGAUAUGCCCUUUGCUACGGAAUAGUCUCGGGAAACUGGGGGUAAUACCGUAUACGCCCUUUGGGGGAAAGAUUUAUCGGCGAAGGAUUAGCCCGCGUUGGAUUAGGUAGUUGGUGGGGUAAUGGCCUACCAAGCCGACGAUCCAUAGCUGGUUUGAGAGGAUGAUCAGCCACACUGGGACUGAGACACGGCCCAGACUCCUACGGGAGGCAGCAGUGGGGAAUCUUAGACAAUGGGGGCAACCCUGAUCUAGCCAUGCCGCGUGAGUGAUGAAGGCCUUAGGGUUGUAAAGCUCUUUCAGCUGGGAAGAUAAUGACGGUACCAGCAGAAGAAGCCCCGGCUAACUCCGUG
RNAcentral lists this ribosomal RNA (431 nucleotides) under uncultured bacterium. RNAcentral describes it as "partial 16S ribosomal RNA". It matches the Rfam family "Bacterial small subunit ribosomal RNA", at positions 29 to 507 of the family's 1533-position model. The record is from RNAcentral.